RNAcentral lists this transfer RNA (66 nucleotides) under Bactrocera curvifera. Its description in RNAcentral is "tRNA-His". Lineage: Eukaryota; Metazoa; Arthropoda; Insecta; Diptera; Tephritidae. The record is from RNAcentral.
AUCUAAAUAGUUUAUUUAAAAUAUUGAUUUGUGGUGUCGAUGAAAUGAGGUUUGUCAUUUUAGAUC